CAGCAGCCGCGGUAAUACGAAGGGUGCAAGCGUUAAUCGGAAUUACUGGGCGUAAAGCGUGCGUAGGCGGUGAGUUAAGUCUGCUGUGAAAUCCCCGGGCUCAACCUGGGAAUGGCAGUGGAUACUGGCUCGCUAGAGUGUGUCAGAGGAUGGUGGAAUUCCCGGUGUAGAGGUGAAAUUCGUAGAUAUUCGGAAGAACACCAGUGGCGAAGGCGGCUUACUGGCUCAUUCUAGACGCUGAGGUGCGAAAGCGUGGGGAGCAAACAGGAUUAGAGACCCGUGUAGUCCCUGUCUCUUAUAC
This 301-nucleotide ribosomal RNA is filed under the name uncultured bacterium. Its description in RNAcentral is "partial 16S ribosomal RNA". It matches the Rfam family "Bacterial small subunit ribosomal RNA", at positions 509 to 807 of the family's 1533-position model. The record is from RNAcentral.